AAUGAAGGGGAUGAUGUCUUUCUUUGUGAAUAUGAAUAUGAUAUACGCUGGCAAAGUUUCAAGCGUCUAGCUGAGAUU
Tripterygium wilfordii is the source of this 78-nucleotide small nucleolar RNA. RefSeq annotates it as small nucleolar RNA snoR28. Lineage: Eukaryota; Viridiplantae; Streptophyta; Magnoliopsida; Celastrales; Celastraceae. The transcript has a single exon. The record is from RefSeq and is a predicted model, not a curated record.